Long non-coding RNA from Mauremys mutica (yellowpond turtle), 835 nucleotides. RefSeq lists it as uncharacterized. The record is from RefSeq and is a predicted model, not a curated record. Lineage: Eukaryota; Metazoa; Chordata; Testudines; Geoemydidae. The transcript has 6 exons.
CUUCCCUUUUAGUGAUUUUACUAGAAAACAGCCGUCCCUGUUUAGAAGAUGUUUUCAGAUGGAUUCCUGAAUUGUUUGCUGCAUUAUCUUCCCUGGUGCAGAAGUUAAGCUGACUGACAUCAGCGAUAAAGGGGUGCAGGAUCCAGAAAAGAGAAGCCAGUAGUGAACACUGACCGUGGACAACAGAUGAAACAGACAGACGAACUAUCGCAAGAAGGUGUGGAUACAACAGUACAUUGAGAGCCGAGAAGGAAGGACUGUGCUGGAGUACUAAUUCUGAACAUGGCACUAGGUCUUUCAUGAACCCAAGGAGCUGAUAUAUUUCCAGAAACCCACCCCAUGGUACAUGCUCAGAUGGGAAGGGCUUGAACCACCCAACUAGAAGCAGAACACAGACAGAUGUUUUCCUCAGGUGCUACCCCAGACGAUACUGCCAGGACCGCAAUUCAUUGUGCAGCUUGUGCUGACGGCGGCCUCACCGUACCCUGCACCACUUGCUGUGUCCCCUCCUGGAUUGCAGCAAACCCUGCAACAGGAUGCCCUUCGUGGUGACAAGCACUCCCAUCAACUGCCCAGAGUGUUAACCCUUUUCCUUGUACUUCUUCCCAGGAUGUUGCUAAGAAGAAUGGAGAUAGUAAGUCUAAAUCAGGAUCUGGCAACGGACAUUCGUGCUCAUCUCCUGCGAGGAUGCGGAGGAAAUCCAGACACGCCAGCCCUUCUUUUUAGGUGACAGAUGCUAGAAUCAAAGAAUUAUAGACCCAUCAGGUUAGAAGGCACUGCAAGGUCCAGGGAGGGUGUUUGGGUGAAGAAGGGGGUUUGGGGUGUAGGCUCUGGG